AACGAACGCUGGCGGCAUGCCUAACACAUGCAAGUCGAACGAGACCUUCGGGUCUAGUGGCGCACGGGUGCGUAACGCGUGGGAACCUGCCCUUAGGUUCGGAAUAACUCCCCGAAAGGGGUGCUAAUACCGGAUAAUGUCUUCGGACCAAAGAUUUAUCGCCUUUGGAUGGGCCCGCGUUGGAUUAGCUAGUUGGUAGGGUAAAAGCCUACCAAGGCGACGAUACAUAGCUGGUCUGAGAGGAUGAUCAGCCACACUGGGACUGAGACACGGCCCAGACUCCUACGGGAGGCAGCAGUGGGGAAUAUUGGACAAUGGGCGAAAGCCUGAUCCAGCAAUGACGCGUGAGUGAUGAAGGCCUUAGGGUUGUAAAGCUCUUUUACCCGGGAUGAUAAUGACAGUACCGGGAGAAUAAGCUCCGGCUAACUCCGUG
This 433-nucleotide ribosomal RNA is filed under the name uncultured bacterium. Its description in RNAcentral is "partial 16S ribosomal RNA". It matches the Rfam family "Bacterial small subunit ribosomal RNA", at positions 29 to 507 of the family's 1533-position model. The record is from RNAcentral.